GGUUGAUACACAGCCGACAGCUCUAUUGGACAACUGUUAGAAUUCAUAUUAUGGCAAGAACCAAUCAGCUAAGUAAAGAGAAACGAGUGGCCAUCAUUACUUUAACAAAUGAAGAUCAGUCAGGGCCAAGAAACACAAGGAAUGGACAUUAGACCAGUGGAAAUCUGUGCUUUGGUCUGAUGAGUCCAAAUUUGAGAUCUUUGGUUCCAACCGCCGUGUCUUUGUGCGACGCAGAAAAGGUGAACGGAUGGAUUUUACAUGCCUGGUUCCCACCGUGAAGCAUGGAGGAGGAGGUGUGAUGGUGUGGGGGUGCUUUGCUGGUGACACUGUUGGGGAUUUAUUCAAAAUUGAAGGCAUACUGAACCAGCAUGGCUACCACAGUAUCUUGCAGCGACAUGCCAUGCCAUGCCAUCCGGUUUGCGUUUAGUUGGACCAUCAUUUAUUUUUCAACAGGACCAUAUCCCCAAACACAACUCCAAGCUGUGUAAGGGCUAUUUGACCAAGAAGGAGAGUGAUGGAGUGCUGCGCCAGAUGACCUGGCCUCCACAGUCACCGGACCUGAACCCAAUCGAGAUGGUUUGGGGUGAGCUGGACCGCAGAGUGAAGGCAAAAGGGCAAACAAGUGCUAAGCAUCUCUGGGAACUCCUUCAAGACUGUUGGAAAACCAUUUCAGGUGACUACCUCUUGAAGCUCAUCAAGAGAAUGCCAAGAGUGUGCAAAGCAGUAAUCAGAGCAAAGGGUGGCUACUUUGAAGAAACUAGAAUAUAAGACAUGUUUUCAGUUAUUUCACACUUUUUUGUUAAGUACAUAAAUCCACGUGUUCAUUCAUAGUUUUGAUGCCUUCAGUGAGAAUCUACAAUGUAAAUAGAAAAACAACAAACAAUAGAAAAUAAAGGAAACGCAUUGAAUGAGAAGGUUGUGUCCAAACUUUUGGCCUGUACUGUACAUAGACAUACAGAGUAA
Sander lucioperca (pikeperch) is the source of this 963-nucleotide long non-coding RNA. RefSeq lists it as uncharacterized. Lineage: Eukaryota; Metazoa; Chordata; Actinopteri; Perciformes; Percidae. The transcript is spliced from 3 exons. The record is from RefSeq and is a predicted model, not a curated record.